Molecule: ribosomal RNA, 253 nt
Filed under: uncultured prokaryote
Description: partial 16S ribosomal RNA
Rfam family: Bacterial small subunit ribosomal RNA
Source: RNAcentral
GACGUAAGGUGCAAGCGUUAUCCGGAAUCACUGGGCGUAAAGGGCAUCUAGGCGGCUAAACAAGUCAGGGGUGAAAAGUCAGGGCUCAACCUUGGCCUUGCCUUUGAAACUGUAUAGCUAGAGUAUGGGAGAGGAAGGCGGAACUACAAGUGUAGAGGUGAAAUUCGUAGAUAUUUGUAGGAAUGCCGAUGACGAAGGUAGCUUUCUAGACCAAUACUGACGCUGAAGUGCGAAAGCUAGGGGAGCAAACAGG